This is a non-coding RNA of Plutella xylostella (diamondback moth), 308 nucleotides long. NCBI's taxonomy places the organism in Eukaryota, Metazoa, Arthropoda, Insecta, Lepidoptera, Plutellidae. The record is from RefSeq and is a predicted model, not a curated record.
UGAUGACUUCAUAUCAAUUACUGGAACACAAAAUGUAAAACUGCUUUGUCAAUUACUGGGCGAAGUGAAAAAUUUCCUAUCAAUUAUAGGUACAUUUUGAGACUGUUUGAAUUUUCUCGGAAAAUAGUAAAAAACGUUUAAUUAGAUACUUGAUUGUAAGGAGAUAAUUUAGAUAGAAGACUGAUUUACCAAAUUUUGUUACUUGGUUACCGCCUGAUUUCGUAAUAAAAGUUUUUCCCUAACAACGUUUUUGUAAUUGCCACUAUUGUGUCAACUACUGGGACAUUUACCUUAUGUACUUUGUGAUA